UUACGGCCAUAUGACGUUGAAAAAACCGAUUCUCGUAUGAUCACCGAAGUUAAGCAACAUCAAGCCUAGGUAGUAUCUAGAUGAGUAACCACUUUGGAAUACCAGAUACUGUAAG
This is a non-coding RNA of Acanthosepion pharaonis, 115 nucleotides long. NCBI's taxonomy places the organism in Eukaryota, Metazoa, Mollusca, Cephalopoda, Sepiida, Sepiidae. The record is from the annotation of a GenBank genome assembly.